RNAcentral lists this ribosomal RNA (965 nucleotides) under human oral metagenome. Its description in RNAcentral is "bacterial LSU rRNA". It matches the Rfam family "Bacterial large subunit ribosomal RNA", at positions 1950 to 2925 of the family's 2925-position model. The record is from RNAcentral.
CCUAAGGUAGCGAAAUUCCUUGUCGGGUAAGUUCCGACCCGCACGAAAGGCGUAACGAUUUGGGCACUGUCUCAACGAUGGACUCGGUGAAAUCAUAGUACCUGUGAAGAUGCAGGUUACCCGCGACAGGACGGAAAGACCCCAUGGAGCUUUACUGUAGCUUGAUAUUGAAUUUUGAUGCAGUAUGUACAGGAUAGGUAGGAGCCUAGGAAUCAUGCACGCCAGUGUAUGAGGAGGCGCUGUUGGGAUACUACCCUUGCUGUAUUGAAAUUCUAACCCUCGGCAAAGACCGGGAGACAGUGUCAGGUGGGCAGUUUGACUGGGGCGGUCGCCUCCCAAAGAGUAACGGAGGCGUUCAAAGGUUCCCUCAGAAUGGUUGGAAAUCAUUUGCAGAGUGUAAAGGCACAAGGGAGCUUGACUGUGAGACUUACAAGUCGAGCAGGUGCGAAAGCAGGACUUAGUGAUCCGGUGGUUCCGCAUGGAAGGGCCAUCGCUCAACGGAUAAAAGCUACCCUGGGGAUAACAGGCUUAUCUCCCCCAAGAGUUCACAUCGACGGGGAGGUUUGGCACCUCGAUGUCGGCUCAUCGCAUCCUGGGGCUGUAGUCGGUCCCAAGGGUUGGGCUGUUCGCCCAUUAAAGCGGUACGCGAGCUGGGUUCAGAACGUCGUGAGACAGUUCGGUCCCUAUCCGUCGUGGGCGUAGGAAAUUUGAGAGGAGCUGUCCUUAGUACGAGAGGACCGGGAUGGACGUAUCAAUGGUGUACCAGUUGUCACGCCAGUGGCAUAGCUGGGUAGCUAAAUACGGAAGGGAUAAGAGCUGAAAGCAUCUAAGCAUGAAGCCCCCCUCGAGAUGAGAUUUCCCACGGAUAUUAAGACCCCUUGAAGACGACAAGGAGAAUAGGUUAGGAGUGUAAGUGUGGUAACACAUGUAGCUGACUAAAACUAAUAGGUCGAGGACUUAAUCAA